GUCUACGGCUAUACUACCCUGAACGCGCCCGAUCUCGUCUGAUCUCGGAAGCUAAGCAGGGUCGGGCCUGGUUAGUACUUGGAUGGAAGAGAAGUCAGGGAAGAUC
This 106-nucleotide ribosomal RNA is filed under the name Neogale vison (American mink). The record is from RNAcentral. Lineage: Eukaryota; Metazoa; Chordata; Mammalia; Carnivora; Mustelidae.